CGUACUGGAUAGUCUGGUUUAACAGCUUUUGAAGAUUUCUGUCUUUUUUGUUGACAGGAUUCCAUUGUUUCCUCCUAAAAGCACCUAAGACAAUGUUUGACUUUUCUCUACUCAGCUCCCUGUGAGGAGAAAAAAGGAGAAGUCAGUUCACAGGACAGCCUGAAUUGGUGAUUCCUGAAAGGCGGAGGUCGGGGGGGCAGAGAGAACCUUAAAACCAUACUGAAUCUAUUUUGAUUAAGUGUAUAAAUCACAGCAUCAAAGAGAGACAGGAAUAACUAGUCGGCAGACCAGAGAUUCCUGGAGUUUCAGAGCGAGAAGGAAGAGGGCAGCCUAGCAGGGCAGAGCCAGACCCCAGACCAAUGACGUCAGCAUCUCUGGGCUAGUGCCCAGGAACAGUAUUUUUUUAACGGUCCCGUUGAGCCCAAUGUGCAGCCACGUUUGAGAACCACUGACCUGGGAUACAAACAGAGGGGCACAGAAGGGGAUAGAGAUGUACGCCCAGAGGAACCCACAGGGGCUCUGAACUCAUAGGCCCAGGUAGGACGGAGGGUGGGGUGAGAACGGGGCUGAAACAGGGAGAAUAGUGGGAGGUCUGUGCAUGGAAUAGUCAACCCCCAACCCUCUGUCCACCUCCAGGCAUGGACCGUCAUGGAGCUAGGCAUUUCCUUCUCAGACAUUAACAAAGGAGAGCUCUUCUAAAACCAAAACCAAAGCCAAGAAACUCUGAAUACACUGUCUGGAGAGAACUCGGGCAGCUUGUGUGGGCACAGGAGCCUCAGGAAAGCCCACCUCAUUCUGACAUUUAGGGGUUCCCCAGCAUAGAAGCCAGCUCCCUGUCCUCACCCUAAAUUGGAGCCUGAUGCCCACAGAGCUGCUUGGCUCAUUUAUAAAUGUAAGAGGAAUACCAAGGACACCAGGACCAGCCCCCUGCACCUGAGCCCCGGCUGUGAGGCUGUCCCUGAGCCAGCCCAACAUCUGCAACACCUGUGUGGUCGGCAACUAUGUGGACCAGAACACUGCCACCAACGGCACCGGGGAAGUCUAUUGAUCAAGAAAGUGCCCAGCAGGGUGAGUGUGCCCAGCUCCUGAGACACUCCUUUCCCAGGAGAUUAGGGGUGGGGUAUGUUGGUGCUCACCACCCCCAGGAAAUGUGAUAUCCAACAUCUCCAGCCCUUGGGACAAUACCAGAUGAGAUGAAUCAGAGACAGUAAAGGCUGGCAUGUGACCCAGGAAACUAUGGGGGAUGGGUGGAAUCGGGGCUUUUAGGAAGAGCAAAGAACAGCUAGGCCAGUCACUGAUGUUUCUCUCCGCUCUGCCCUAAAUCCAUCUUGAAGGGCCGUUGAGUGGACAAGGAAUCAUCUCUGUAAUUAGUGACCUCAAGACAGAAACUUGAAGAUAAAGAAAGGCAGCUUUGACUCAAUAUUAGAGGAGAGUUCUGUACUCAGAGUCAUCCAAACAUGCAACAGAGGCUUUGGGACACAGUGAGGUCCCUGUCACUGGUGGAAUGUAACCACAGGCAAACUCACCUGGUGGGUUGUUAGAAAGUCGAGGAAGGAACAGGACUCCACAGUGAGUUUGCUUCCAACAUGGACAUUCUUAGAUUCUAGGAAAUUCUCUGCAGCAAAAGCACAUAGGAUUAUUGCAAACCCCAACAACCCAGUUUCCCAGAACCACCAGGUGGAGUGGAGGGCCUGCACUGAGCCAGCCCACUGCAGGGAGUGUGGGCAGUCCCAGGACCCAUCACCCGGAAGCCGCUCACUCUGCUCCGUUUCUGACCCAACAGGGACUAGAGCUCUGUUCCCCCCAUUACUGUGGACGGUGCUGGCAAACGGCCUCUCUCCUUGGGCUCCUUGGGAAGCCCGGAGUUCAGCUCACAAGAAGGGUUUCCAGCAGAAGGGAAGAGAGAGGUGCCCGAGCAGCGAGACAACUGCACUGGGGCCUUCUGUCUUUUCUUGUGCUUUGUCAAGUUUUCUAAAUCAUAAAUGAAUGCUUUCUAUAUUCUGC
This is a long non-coding RNA of Equus caballus (horse), 2004 nucleotides long. NCBI's taxonomy places the organism in Eukaryota, Metazoa, Chordata, Mammalia, Perissodactyla, Equidae. The record is from Ensembl.